GAUGAACGCUGGCGGCGUGCUUAACACAUGCAAGUCGAACGGAAAGGCCCAAGCUUGCUUGGGUACUCGAGUGGCGAACGGGUGAGUAACACGUGGGUGAUCUGCCCUGCACUUCGGGAUAAGCCUGGGAAACUGGGUCUAAUACCGGAUAGGACGAUGGUUUGGAUGCCAUUGUGGAAAGUUUUUUCGGUGUGGGAUGAGCUCGCGGCCUAUCAGCUUGUUGGUGGGGUAAUGGCCUACCAAGGCGUCGACGGGUAGCCGGCCUGAGAGGGUGUACGGCCACAGUGGGACGGAGAUAAGGCCCAGACUACUACGGGAGGCAGCAGGGGGGAAUAUUGCACAAUGGGCGCAAGCCUGAUGCAGCGACGCCGCGUGGGGGAUGACGGCCUUCGGGUUGUAAACUCCUUUCGCUAGGGACGGAGCGUUUUUGUGACGGUACCUGGAGAAGAAGCACCGGCUAACUACGUG
Molecule: ribosomal RNA, 468 nt
Filed under: uncultured bacterium
Lineage: Bacteria
Description: partial 16S ribosomal RNA
Rfam family: Bacterial small subunit ribosomal RNA
Source: RNAcentral